AGCAGCCGCGGUAAUUCCAGCUCCAAUAGCGUAUAUUGAAGUUGUUGCAGUUAAAAAGCUCGUAGUUGAAUUUCGGGGUCAGUAGGCUGGUCGUGCCACAGGUACGCACUGGUCUCACUGAUUCCUCCUUCCUGAUGAACCGUAAUGCCAUUAAUUUGGUGUUGCGGGGAGACUGGACUGUUACUUUGAAAAAAUUAGAGUGUUUAAAGCAGGCUAACGCUUGAAUACAUUAGCAUGGAAUAAUGAAAUAGGACGUUCGGUCUUAUUUUGUUGGUUUCUAAGAUUGACGUAAUGAUUAAUAGGGAUAGUUGGGGGCAUUAGUAUUCAAUUGUCAGAGGUGAAAUUCUUGGAUUUAUUGAAGACUAACUACUGCGAAAGCAUUUGCCAAGGAUGUUUUCAUUAAUCAAGAACGAAAGUUAGGGGAUCGAAGACGAUCAGAUACCGUCGUAGUCUUAACCAUAAACUAUGCCGACUAGGGAUCGGAUGAUGUUAAUUUUUUAAUGACUCA
Molecule: ribosomal RNA, 508 nt
Filed under: uncultured Glomus
Lineage: Eukaryota; Fungi; Glomeromycota; Glomeromycetes; Glomerales; Glomeraceae
Description: SSU rRNA
Rfam family: Eukaryotic small subunit ribosomal RNA
Source: RNAcentral